UGGGGAAUCUUGCACAAUGGGGGCAACCCUGAUGCAGCGACGCCGCGUGAGCGAUUAAGGUUUUCGAAUCGUAAAGCUCUGUCCUAUGGGAAGAUAAUGACGGUAUCAUAGGAGGAAGCCCCGGCUAACUACGUGCCAGCAGCCGCGGUAAUACGUAGGGGGCGAGCGUUGUCCGGAAUUACUGGGCGUAAAGUGUUCGCAGGCGGCCUGGCAAGUCCGAUGUAAGAGGCGAAGGCUCAACCUUCGUAAGCAUCGGAAACUGUCAAGCUUUAGUGAAGUAAAAGCAAGGGGAAUUCCUAGUGUAGCGGUGGAAUGCGUAGAUAGUAGGAGUAAUACCGGUGGCGAAGGCGACUUGCUGGACUUAAACUGACGCUGAGGACCGAAAGCAUGGGUAGCAAACAGG
Molecule: ribosomal RNA, 403 nt
Filed under: Verrucomicrobiota bacterium
Lineage: Bacteria; Pseudomonadati; Verrucomicrobiota
Description: Verrucomicrobia bacterium partial 16S ribosomal RNA
Rfam family: Bacterial small subunit ribosomal RNA
Source: RNAcentral